RNAcentral lists this ribosomal RNA (403 nucleotides) under uncultured bacterium. RNAcentral's name for it is "bacterial SSU rRNA". It matches the Rfam family "Bacterial small subunit ribosomal RNA", at positions 355 to 775 of the family's 1533-position model. The record is from RNAcentral.
UAGGGAAUAUUAGAAAUGGACGAAAGUCUGAUCUAGCAACACCGCGUGUGCGAAGAAGGCCUUCGGGUCGUAAAGCACUUUUUGGAAGGAAUAGGAAGGAAUGUACCUCCAGAAUAAGUCUCGGCUAACUACGUGCCAGCAGCCGCGGUAACACGUAGGAGGCGAACGUUAUCCGGAUUUACUGGGCGUAAAGCGCGUGUAGGUGGUACUGUAAGUAGGGCGUGAAAGCUCCUGGCUCAACUGGGAGAGGCCGUUCUAAACUACAGAACUAGAGGAUGGUAGAGGGAGGUGGAAUUCCAGGUGUAGCGGUGGAAUGCGCAGAUAUCCGGAGGAGCACCGGUGGCGAAGGCGGCCUCCUGGACCAUUCCUGACACUCAGACGCGAAAGCUAGGGUAGCAAACGG